GGACUACUGGGGUUUCUAAUCCUGUUUGCUCCCCUAGCUUUCGCGCUUCAGCGUCUGGUCUGGCACAGAAAACCGUCUUCACCACUGGUGUUCUUCCACAUAUCUACGCAUUUCACCGCUACACGUGGAAUUCCGUUUUCCCUUACCAUCCUCUAAGCUCGGAAGUUUCAAAUGCAGCUCUGGGGUUGAGCCCCAGAAUUUCACAUCUGACUUUCCAAGCCGCCUACGCGCCCUUUACGCCCAGUAAUUCCGAUCAAUGCUUGCACCCUCCGUAUUACCGCGGCUGCUGGCAC
RNAcentral lists this ribosomal RNA (293 nucleotides) under uncultured bacterium. Its description in RNAcentral is "partial 16S ribosomal RNA". The record is from RNAcentral.